UACGUAGGGGGCGAGCGUUGUCCGAAGUUACUGGGCGUAAAGCGCGCGUAGGCGGGGGAUUAAGUGAGAGGUGAAAGGCUGGGGCUCAACCCCAUGCAGUGCCUCUCAUACUGGUCUUCUUGAGGGCGGUAGGGAGAAGUGGAAUGGCUGGUGUAGCGGUGAAAUGCGCAGAUAUCAGGAGGAACACCGGUGGCGAAGGCGGGUCUCUGGGCAACAACUGACGCUGAGGAGCGAAAGCGUGGGGAGCGAACAGG
This 254-nucleotide ribosomal RNA is filed under the name uncultured bacterium. RNAcentral's name for it is "partial 16S ribosomal RNA". It matches the Rfam family "Bacterial small subunit ribosomal RNA", at positions 524 to 776 of the family's 1533-position model. The record is from RNAcentral.